This 342-nucleotide unclassified non-coding RNA is filed under the name soil metagenome. RNAcentral's name for it is "partial contains 5.8S ribosomal RNA, internal transcribed spacer 2, and large subunit ribosomal RNA". The stretch from base 1 to 120 matches the Rfam family "5.8S ribosomal RNA", at positions 35 to 154 of the family's 154-position model. The record is from RNAcentral.
GAUGAAGAACGUAGCGAAAUGCGAUAAGUAAUGUGAAUUGCAGAAUUCAGUGAAUCAUCGUAUCUUUGAACGCACAUUGCGCCCGCCAGCACUCUGGCGGGCAUGCCUGUUCGAGCGUCAUUUCAACCAUCAAGCCCCCAGGGGCUUGUGCUGGGGCCCUGCGGCUGCCCGCAGGCCCUGAAAACCAGUGGCGGGCUCGCUAGUCACACCGAGCGCAGUAGCACAUCUCGCUCAGGGCGUGCGGCGGGCUCCUGCCGUGAAACCCCCCACUGUAACCCCAAAGGUUGACCUCGGAUCAGGUAGGAAUACCCGCUGAACUUAAGCAUAUCAAUAAGCGGAGGA